AACGAACGCUGGCGGCAUGCUUAACACAUGCAAGUCGAACGGAUAGCUUGCUAUCAGUGGCGCACGGGUGAGUAACACGUGGGAACCUACCUUUUAGUUUGGGAUAACUUUGGGAAACUAAGGCUAAUACCGGAUACGCUUUGCAGCUUGGCGCUGUAAAGGAAAGAUUUAUCGCUAAAAAGAUGGGCCCGCGGUGGAUUAGCUUGUUGGUGGGGUAAAGGCUUACCAAGGCAACGAUCCAUAGCUGGUCUGAGAGGAUGAUCAGCCACACUGGGACUGAGAUACGGCCAGACUCCUACGGGAGGCAGCAGUGGGGAAUAUUGGACAAUGGGCGAAAGCCUGAUCCAGCAAUGCCGCGUGAGUGAAGAAGGUCUUCGGAUUGUAAAGCUCUUUCACGGGUGAAGAUAAUGACGGUAACCCGAGAAGAAGCCCCGGCUAACUCGUG
Molecule: ribosomal RNA, 445 nt
Filed under: uncultured bacterium
Lineage: Bacteria
Description: bacterial SSU rRNA
Rfam family: Bacterial small subunit ribosomal RNA
Source: RNAcentral